GAAAUGCGAUAAGUAAUGUGAAUUGCAGAAUUCAGUGAAUCAUCGAAUCUUUGAACGCAUAUUGCGCCCCCUGGUAUUCCGGGGGGCAUGCCUGUUCGAGCGUCAUUUCACCACUCAAGCCUCGCUUGGUAUUGGGCGACGCGGUCCGCCGCGCGCCUCAAAUCGACCGGCUGGGUCUUUCGUCCCCUCAGCGUUGUGGAAACUAUUCGCUAAAGGGUGCCGCGGGAGGCCACGCCGUAAAACAACCCCAUUUCUAAGGUUGACCUCGGAUCAGGUAGGGAUACCCGCUGAACUUAAGC
RNAcentral lists this unclassified non-coding RNA (299 nucleotides) under plant metagenome. RNAcentral describes it as "partial contains 5.8S ribosomal RNA, internal transcribed spacer 2, and large subunit ribosomal RNA". The stretch from base 1 to 105 matches the Rfam family "5.8S ribosomal RNA", at positions 50 to 154 of the family's 154-position model. The record is from RNAcentral.